This 488-nucleotide ribosomal RNA is filed under the name uncultured bacterium. Its description in RNAcentral is "partial 16S ribosomal RNA". It matches the Rfam family "Bacterial small subunit ribosomal RNA", at positions 355 to 860 of the family's 1533-position model. The record is from RNAcentral.
UGGGGAAUAUUGGACAAUGGGGGCAACCCUGAUCCAGCAAUGCCGCGUGUGUGAAGAAGGUCUUCGGAUUGUAAAGCACUUUCGACGGGGACGAUGAUGACGGUACCCGUAGAAGAAGCCCCGGCUAACUUCGUGCCAGCAGCCGCGGUAAUACGAAGGGGGCUAGCGUUGCUCGGAAUGACUGGGCAUAAAGGGCGUGUAGGCGGUUUACACAGUCAGAUGUGAAAUCCCCGGGCUUAACCUGGGAGCUGCAUUUGAUACGUGUAGACUAGAGUGUGAGAGAGGGUUGUGGAACUCCCAGUGUAGAGGUGAAAUUCGUAGAUAUUGGGAAGAACACCGGUGGCGAAGGCGGCAACCUGGCUCAUGACUGACGCUGAGGCGCGAAAGCGUGGGGAGCAAACAGGAUUAGAUACCCUGGUAGUCCACGCUGUAAACGAUGUGUGCUAGAUGUUGGGUAACUUUGUUAUUCAGUGUCGCAGUUAACGCGU